This 329-nucleotide unclassified non-coding RNA is filed under the name soil metagenome. RNAcentral describes it as "partial contains 5.8S ribosomal RNA, internal transcribed spacer 2, and large subunit ribosomal RNA". The stretch from base 1 to 120 matches the Rfam family "5.8S ribosomal RNA", at positions 35 to 154 of the family's 154-position model. The record is from RNAcentral.
GAUGAAGAACGUAGCGAAAUGCGAUAAGUAAUGUGAAUUGCAGAAUUCAGUGAAUCAUCGAAUCUUUGAACGCACAUUGCGCCCCCUGGUAUUCCGGGGGGCAUGCCUGUCCGAGCGUCAUUUCAACCCUCAAGCUCAGCUUGGUGUUGGGCCCCGCCGCCCCGGCGGGCCCUAAAGUCAGUGGCGGUGCCGUCCGGCUCCGAGCGUAGUAAUUCUUCUCGCUCUGGAGGUCCGGUCGUGUGCUCGCCAGCAACCCCCAAUUUUUUUCAGGUUGACCUCGGAUCAGGUAGGGAUACCCGCUGAACUUAAGCAUAUCAAUAAGCGGAGGA